RNAcentral lists this small RNA (4720 nucleotides) under Rattus norvegicus (Norway rat). RNAcentral describes it as "uncharacterized LOC102549281". Lineage: Eukaryota; Metazoa; Chordata; Mammalia; Rodentia; Muridae. The record is from RNAcentral.
AGUAGGGAAAUAGAGACACAAAGAGGACAGUCACUCUCCUGACUCAUGCAAUUGUUAAAAAGGAAAAGGGAGCUGGGGAGUUAUUACUAUGAGAAGAGCGCUCUGAAUCCUCUGGGAUUUCAGAGGGACAAUGCUAUGGCCCCUGGAGACAAAUCCUACUUGCAACGCCUAGUAGAUGUAAGCCACCUCCUCCCCCAGUCCCAGUGCCCAAGUCUGUAAAACAAAAUGGAUAAGACUGGAGAGAUGGUUCAGUGGUUAAGAGCGCUUCCAACUCUUCCAGAGUUCCAUUCCCAGCAUCCCCACGUCAAGGGAAUCUGACACUUCAGGCUUCCACAGGCACACCCCCCCUCAACACACACACACCUAUACAUUCACUCAUAGAGACAUAUAGAUAAAUACAAAUAUAUAUGGUCUUAAGUCUUUUUUAUAAGACAGGCAUGGUGUUCCGUGCUUUAAUCUCAGAAUUUAAGAGGCAGAAACAGUAUUAUGUGCGUUCGAGACCAGCUGGAUAACACCGGGGUUUCUUCACAGCUUUUUAGCUUUUUUAGAUCCGAAAGGUGUAUACCGACUCCGUAGGGAAGCCACCGUUUUCAGCCAGUGUCCUCUAGAAACCCCUGUGGGUCAGCGGGGACAGGGCCUGGCGCGUGUAGGGAAGGUUGAUCGAUCUGUCUAUAGGACCUGAAACACCGGUAGUGCUGGAGAGGAAUUAGGAGACGGUCCCUAAAGCCACGUGAUGCUGAUCCUCUGCCUCCCUCCCAUUUAGUACCCGUUGCAGACGCUGUGCACGCCCGGCGCGCCGCCGGUCAGCACGGAAGAACCAUCCAACACGUCUUGAACCACCGAAUGGGGCGGGGCCUCCGCCCUCACCGUGAAGGCUCUCGGGAGCGUCCGAGUGCCAUGAACAAAGAUGGCGGACGAUACUCACCGGCUGAACCAAUCGAAAGAUAACUUGUUAGGACUUCGGAGAAAGUUGUCGCGAGAGGAGAGGAACAGACCGCCUCUGUCUAUGUGCCGGUUCCUGUGUUUGUCCGUGGGUCGCGAGAGGAGAAAAACAGACUGCGUCUGUCUCUGUGCGUGUGUCUCUGUGUGACUUUAGCCUGCUACUUGGCACCUGAGAAGUAGGCUCUGAUCCUAGCACUCCAGAGUGACACCAUUUUGAAGGGAAGGUUUUCUCACGUCUUGUACUGAAUGUGUCUGUGCAAGUACUUGCCAGGCUUGUUAUGGAAAUGCGCCUCUAAAGGGACAGACACCCUUUGGUAGGCUGGCAGGUGAGAAGGGCAUUAGCCGUGGUUUCCUCUGGGAAGAGGGUGGACACAGUUGGCAGAGGCCGCUUCUAAGCCUUGGCAACUGAACAGGCUUGCUUUUACUCUCACCCCGCUUCUUAGCAAGCUUGUUCCAUUUCACUCAAAUGCCCCUUCAGGACAGCUAAGCUGAGAACAAAGGCAGCAGGGCCUCCCUUCUGUGCUGCUCUCUGGCUUUCUCAGCGUCUUUCCCUUUUCUCACCCCUGGGUAAACUGCAACCAGCACAGCACCUAGUACUCAUUUCUCCUCAUCUCUACAAUAGUCCUGCAGAUCCAUACCCCUGCCUCUUGGUCCUGAUGACAGCCUUGGCAACCCAAGGUCAUCAUACUUUGAUCUCCUUAGACCAGCACUGAGAUGCUUUGCUCAACAAAAUACCUGCCCUCGAACACAAGGAAGGGUCUUCCUUACAGCAGGCACGGAGGAAGGGGCGUCACUGCCACCAUCGUCCAAAUGUCUCAGUGUGACACUAGUAUGUACUCACAGGCUCAUGGAUGCCCUGGAGGCCUUCAGGUAUAGGGCUUCUCAACAUGUGUUGGGUAAUUAGCCCCUUUGAGCAUCUUAAGGUUAUCAGGGGCCGUGUCUCAAAGGGAAAGAUGCUAUUCUUUUUUCUUUUCUUUUUUUUUUCUUUUUUGGUUCUUUUUUUCAGAGCUGGGGACCAAACCCAGGGCCUUGUGCUUCCUAGGCAAGCGCUCUACCACUGAGCUAAAUCCCCAACGAAAGAUGCUAUUCUUUAGGGAAGCAGGACAAAAGGUAUUCUCUUGCCCUCCCACAACAUAUGUCAUGGACAAUGUAUAAAUGACAGGUCUGGGGCCGAAGGUUUGGGUUUGAGCGCUUGCUUAGCAUGCAGGGAACUCUGGGUUGAGCUCCUGAUGCUUCAUAAUUAUUAGAUUCACAUUGGCUUCCUUUUGUUUUCCUUAUAUUCCAGACAGAGGAUUGAUUUUUAAAUCCAUGUGUAGGUGUGUUACAUUAUCUGUAAAUUUCAUUUCAGAAUAGCAAUGGGGACAGUAGACACUAUUUAUAAGAAGGAAAUGUUGGUUCUUAGAUUCAGAACCACUUCUCUGAGGAGUCCAUGGACCCCAGAAGGAAAUCUGCUCUGCCCACGUCUCUCGUAUUAUGGCAAAGGGAAACAAAGUCCGUUCUUUAAAGGUACUUGGAUUCCUAGCACUUUGGAAGAGUCAGUGACAAAGCUUGACAUUUUCAGCAAUAGGUACUGGUGCCCAGCUGGCCUCUUCUCCCUGGUGCUGUCCGACCUCUUCCUACAGCAUUUGAGAUCUUCCUAACUAUACUGUAUCCUCCCACUCAAAGCCCAGACUUUUCUUCACUCUUUCCAUCCCUAGUCGAACAUUUAACACAGUAGGCUCGCACUCAGAAAGUGAUUGGGAAGAAAAGGUGAGACCCAUCCAAAGGUUUAAUAUACCUGAACACAGGCCAGAGAAGCCCAGGAAGAUUGCGUUCAUACUAUUUGAAGCUGACAUAGCCAGAGGCUUGAUUGUCUAUGGGGUGGCAAUGCUGCACUGUACAGGGGUUAUCUGGCCUUCAGAAGCACUUCCCUCCCACAGGUAAGCUUUUACCUAAUCCAUGAUCUCAACAACCUACUUCCAAAUGACACCCGACCCCACCUCUCCUACCUCGCUGCCUCUCCAUCUGGGAAGGAGAACUUUAUGCCUCGACCUGACUCUGCUCCUCCAGCAAAUACACAGGUCGCAGACAGAUUCAGAAACCCGAGGCUGCUGUCAUCAUGGCGACUGACCAGCUCCACAACCUCAGGAACCUGCUUCAUCCGAGCUGCCUGCUGAGGACUGUGAAGACAGCAAAAUGGACGGAGGGUAUGUGAGAGGGCUUUGUAUAUUACCUCUCCCAGGAAAGGAUACAAACAUUAAAAUCAAAGCCAAAUGGGGCAAAGGCAGGAACUGUGGAGCUCGCGGCAGGACCAGAAGUCUUGAAUCCACGGGCUUUCACCCAGUGAUGCUGACCUCCCGUUUUCUCCCACCCUUCAUUGGGCCCAGUCAUGCCCCACGUAGCGAGCACUUCACUGUACACUGUACCCUGCCCGCUUCACCUGUGUGCCUAUUGCCUUUGGGCUAAUUGGCUGCAUUUUGUUGUUUUUCUAACCAAAUCCUCUCCUGAUUGGAGCAAUUAAUUAACUCUCGAAUUGACUCUCAAUGCUGAAAACCAUUUCCCCAGGAAAUACCAGCCUGGCACCGUCCCUGAAUACCAGAAACCACUCUAACGAUGGAGACCAUUCAGCAGACUAUAAGCCAGCAGCUCCAGGCCAGGCACUAGCCUGUAUCCUCUGCACAGAUGACUGGAACCCUGACCGCCCUGUGGCUCCACCCUCAGUGGGCUCCUCCUACUCUGCCUGCACUUGAACUUGGAUAUCCCAGGGAGUUCCCUUCAGACUCCUGCAUGCUCAGCAUAGGUAAGUCUUGCAUGGCCAGCCUCAGGGUUCCACACUCGUCCUAAGAGUUGUCACUCUGGCUGAAUAUUACUAUCCAUUCAUGCUUUUAACUUCCGUGCCGCCUGUUGAAUUCUGAUGUUUUGCUUUCUAGGUAAGCUGUAAGUCCAGCCAGUCUUUCCUCCUUUUUCCCUGAGGCCGCUGCCUCAGUUUACCCCAUCUCUUACCUGGGCAACAGCAUGGCGUGCGAACCAGCCUCUGGCUGUCAUGGCCUUGUUGGUAAGUACAAGCCAGUUGAAACUCUGACUGUGGUGCUCUCUGCCAAGCACUUCUCUGGUUCUCAGGGCCUAAAGAGUCAUGCUCUAGCCUCUCAACCUGGUGUCCUGGUAUCCAUGUGGCCUGGCUCCGGCUCCCUCUCCAGCCUCACCUCUUGCUGCCCCGGGCCUCAUAGCCUUUACUCAGUGCUCCUCUUUCUGCUUUGUUUCAUGUGACCAGCUCAAUCCUGCUGCCGUAUGGCGCUUGGGUGGACAUGGCUCUCAUCUCAACUCUGGGGGGAUGGGUGUUGCGCCUAGGUGUGACGGUGCCCCGUGGCUUCCUUUGUUCCAUGUACCACGUUUCUCUUCCCUGAGAGCUAGCCAAGGGACUCUGUCUUAAUAAUCUUGGCAGCCUCACACCUCGUCCUGGAUCUAGCACAGAAAAGGUACUUGCCCUAAAAUGAUCUCCGUGGCACCGUCUUGAUGCUCUUUCUAGUGCCUUCUGGUUUGUUCCAUAGCCUCUUCUCUGCAGUCCUCGCUCCCCUUAGGGCUAAGCACUGGGAUUCUAUUCAUCUCUGAUUGCAUGGUAAGCCCAGUGCUUGCUUCUCAAGUUACGCGAGAAAAAGGUGUCCUUAUGAAACCAGGAAGGCACAGACUGUCUCUACUUAUCCCUGUAUCCCAACUACUCCUAAAGCAGAAGGCAGCCCCAGAGGCUGAGGCAUACCUCUAAAGCAGACCUGACUCAGACCACACACCCUGCAGUUUGGGC